CUGAUGAAUGACAGGUGAAUGUAUUUUUUUUUCAGCUAUAGCGGAAUUUGUGUGCCUUCAAAUGCUGGAGCACUGUAUGUUUCAGAACAUUCAUUGCAGUACCAAUUUUAUAGUACUGAUACAGAAAAGGGAAAGAACAGUCCUCCUGAAAUAUCUACAACCUCUGUAGGAAUUAGCCCCUUUCAAGACAAUAUAACUCAAGAAAAGGCCAGACUCGAUGAUAAAGGCAAAACGAGGCGAAAAUGACCACUAGACAAGGAUGGGCCUCGAAAGAUUGCAGGCACAGUUGCAAAACCCCAGCCAGAACCAACUUCAGAGACAGCCAAGAAACAGAAACAGAUUUUAAUUAAACCAGCCAGUUUGAAUUGACUGAAAUGAAGGCUGCAGAACUUCCUGUUGCCGGUACUACCCAGGCCAGUGACAUUAAUUGUUGUGGAUGAAAUAUAUCAAAGGAUAUUAUUAGAGAAAAAAAAUCACUUACUGGUCUUAAUGAAAAACAAUUCUCUGGUCUGGUACCGCAACAUAACUUCUCAAUAUCUCCACAUUUGUCAUAGGAACACCAAUCUGGCGCAGUUGAGGUUGGAUAUGGGGGUUGGAUUGGCUGUUGGUUUCUUGGUUCUUCAGAAAUGUCAAAUAAAACUGCAGGCAUUUUUUCAGCCACAGACAACAAAAGUAUCCUACAUCCAUCCACUUCUACCAUUUUCUGAAAUUGUUUGAAAAUUAUGUUUCCAAUUUGUAAAUAAUUAUCUCUGGGCACAUAUACUGUGUAAAUAUUUUAUAUAAUUAUUAGCAGAAAUGAUCAUAUUCAAAAAAAGUAGGGGAUAUUUGAUUUUUAAGUGUUAUUAAAGUCACCUAAUGAA
Molecule: long non-coding RNA, 860 nt
Organism: Patella vulgata (common limpet)
Lineage: Eukaryota; Metazoa; Mollusca; Gastropoda; Patellidae
Exons: 4
Source: RefSeq, a predicted model, not a curated record